Mugil cephalus (flathead mullet) is the source of this 1223-nucleotide long non-coding RNA. RefSeq lists it as uncharacterized. NCBI's taxonomy places the organism in Eukaryota, Metazoa, Chordata, Actinopteri, Mugiliformes, Mugilidae. The record is from RefSeq and is a predicted model, not a curated record. The transcript has 2 exons.
UAAAUGACAUGUGAGAGGAAAAGACACUGGGUUUCAACAAACUGGUUAAAGAGAAGAGUUCCUGCAGAAAUUCAAGCAACAAGCUGUAACACAGACACAAUGAUCACACAAAGAAAAAGAAAAUGUACAAGAAUGCCGUGUAGCAGCAUAUAAUUAUGCGGCUGGGCGUGGCCAGGAGCCAAUUAUGAUGGGGUCGUGGAUAAAAGAGCGGCCCCUCCUACGCCUCCUCCCUCUGUCUCCCGCUGGCGUAAUUUCCGGGACAUCCUGUGUGGCUGCAACAGGUAACUCCGGGGGCCGCGUACGUUUUUGCCAGUUUUGUAUUUGCGGGAGCCUUAACUAUUUCUUGUGCUGUGACAAGGGGGCUGUGGGUGGAUUCUGGCUCCAUGUGGUCUCCUUGUCUGGUAAAUGCUGGUAGCGGCUCGCUGCUCUUGCCUCGUCUCACUGGUUGCAUGAACAGGUGCUGUACCAUAAGGUAUGUAGUUCAUUCUUUCUGAGUCUAACCUGUCCUGUGGGGGGAGCGAUCGGGUAUUUAAUUUCCUUUUUGUUUAAGUAGGAUCAAGUCCAUCACCUCCAUUGGCUCCCUUCCGUCUGCAUGACCUCUGCUGCUUUGUCCUGCUUCAAGUUCCUGUCCGUCCGUGCAGCUGUUUCCCGGCUCGGGUUUGGCUGGCUCCGGCGUGCUGCGGUGCUUUGCUGCCGUCCGUCCUAUUGCGCUGGUCGCCCACCUGUGGUUGGGUCGUUCGCCUUCGCCGCGGCUCGUAGCAGCCCGUUCUCGGCUGCCAGCGUCCGCUCUUUUUUUAGUGAGGGUUUCGUGACCCCUUUUAUCUGGUUCACACUUUCGGAUUUCGUUUUUCAUUCAAUUCCGAUUGUGUUCAAUUGAUGCUGGCGAUUUGAUUUGUAUUAGCAGUUUUAUCAUUUCAUCUGGUGAUAUUUUAACUUUGUAUAUUUGCUGAUUAUAUUCGUUGCUUUUCUUUUUGUUUCAGGGGCUGACGGCCUGUAGUGGUGUGGGUGAUCGUAGGAGACCCUCCUGUCUGCUGUGCCGUUUCCAGGGAUGUGGGUCGUUCACGGGUGUGCUCUUUUCACGUGUGUCUGGGGGAACUUUUACUUUGGGGACCCCUCCUUUCGCUUGCCCUAGCUACUUUUAGGCCGAAGCCCUUGAUUAACUUUUGUUUUUGCAUUUUCUUUUGUUUGGAUCCUUUGUAUUAAUAAAAUAUUAUUGUGACUAA